AGAUGGGCAGGAGGGACGGGAGGCGAGAGAUGCAAGGAAGACAGGCCUCGAGAUGGAUGGAGAUUCCCUCAGUGGGAGCAUGAAUACAGUUCCCCAUAUCACAGAUCAUGUGGCAGUGGAGAAACCAUAGGUGUCAGUGCAUCUCAGGAGCAAGGCAUGGGCCUCACCUUGAGAAAACCACCUCGAUUCGAUUAUGGUCUUUCUUUUGCCAGGGUUUCUCUGUAUAGCCCUGGCUGUCCUGGAACUCACUCUGUAGACCAGGCUGGCCUCAAACUCAGAAAUCUGCCUGCCUCUGCCUCCCGAGUGCUGGGAUUAAAGGUGUGCGCUACCAUGCCCGGCCAGACAGAUUCUUGAGGGCAGUUUUAGUCGAGCCAGAGAUGGCUGCAGGUGUAGAUGCCUGUUAAAGGCCUUGCCUAGGAUGCCUGGGGUCCCAGACAGUUCUCCCAGCACUGCAUAGCAGAGAGAAGGCACCAUGACCAAACCAGGGAGAGGAAGUCAGAGGAUGGACAGAAGGACAAAGGCAGAGGAAACUCUCAAGACUGCUGGUUUCCCAUUUAUCUCUGCUGUUCCCUUGAAUACAUAUGCUGCCUCAGCCCCGACUCCUCUCCACGCUUUUAUACUCGUACUCUGUCAGAAACAGAGAUUUCCUGCAGUGACGUGAGGGUUGGAGUAAGGUAGGGCUACGGACACUAAAAGACCAUGGCAGAGCAUCACAUCCUGACUUUCGAAGCUUUGGCAGGGUCAACAAGUUGUCACAUCGAAAAGUUCUGGAGAACCCAGCCUGUGGACGGAUUCAUGGACGCUGUCUGAAGAUUUAAGAGCUGGCUGAUUUCAACCUCUUCCCACUAUUACACAGAUGUCCACUGUUUCAUGGGAAUAUCAAUUAGGCUUGUUUUGGUUGCAAGGCUGUUUGAGGAAUGCUUCUCCAGGACACCUUGUGAUCAGUCGUUUUCUGUAACCAGUGCUCUAUAAGCUCCAGAAUGGCCAGAGAGCAUAUUUACAACCUGCCUGUUUGAACCUGUUGACUCAGGGCAAAUCCUCAGUUAUCUGGGCCAGUAUGAAAGAUUCUACUCAACUGCAGUUGGGCACAGGCCUCAUCUCUCAAAGCUCCAUCUUUGUAAAUCGGGAUUCGAAGGGAUAGAGAGAGUUACUUUGGGAAGGUUCAGCAAGACAGCCCAUGCACGAGACAUCAUGGCCUUUGCCAGGUUCUCUUAAACCUAGUUAGUGCUCCAAUGCAGAGCUCACUCUCACGGAGCCUCAGAGCCCUGGGCUGGUCCCACAGUGCACGGGGCAGCAGGCUCAGGCUCAGGCUUUGAGGCAGGCAGCAUCCAGCUCGACGCCCUUGGAGCGUUUCCUCAGUCUGACACCUCACAGUGUAAGUACGCUGUGCAGCAUGUCCUCCUACAUUCUGUGGUGUUCCGAAGGAAAAGGAGUAAUGAUGACAGCAAACAUUCAGGACUAUUACAUGCUGCUGAAAAAAAAAUUGAAGUAAGAGAAAUUAGAAAGUUUAUAAAAAAUCCAAUUGGGUUAAAUGAAGAAAAUACAUUUGACUUUUGUAACUAGGAAGGAACAAAUUGAUGUUCUUUUUAAAAGCAUGAAAUUUAUAAUUGUGAGACAAAGACAAUAUGUCUAAAAAAUAAUGGUCAAUAAAUUUGUUUAAAUUAAAA
This 1667-nucleotide long non-coding RNA is filed under the name Mus musculus (house mouse). RNAcentral describes it as "predicted gene, 39918 (Gm39918)". The record is from RNAcentral. Lineage: Eukaryota; Metazoa; Chordata; Mammalia; Rodentia; Muridae.